RNAcentral lists this ribosomal RNA (499 nucleotides) under uncultured bacterium. RNAcentral's name for it is "partial 16S ribosomal RNA". It matches the Rfam family "Bacterial small subunit ribosomal RNA", at positions 28 to 507 of the family's 1533-position model. The record is from RNAcentral.
GACGAACGCUGGCGGCGUGCUUAACACAUGCAAGUCGAACGGGCCCGCCCCUGUUUUUGGGGGUGGGUUGAGUGGCGAACGGGUGAGUAUCACGUGAGUAACCUGCCCCCUGCUCCUGGAUAACUGCUUGAAAGGGCGGCUAAUACGGGGUGUGCCGGCUGGUCCGCAUGGGCCUGGUCGGGAUAGUUUCAUCUUCGGGUGUUUCGGUGGGGGAUGGGCUCGCGGCCUAUCAGCUUGUUGGUGGGGUGAUGGCCCACCAAGGCGGUGACGGGUAGCCGGCCUGAGAGGGUGGGCGGCCACACUGGGACUGAGACACGGCCCAGACUCCUGCGGGAGGCAGCAGUGGGGGGUAUUGCACAAUGGGCGGAAGCCUGAUGCAGCGACGUCGCGUGAGGGAUGGAGGCCUUCGGGUUGUGAACCUCUUUCUCCGGUGGGGAAGGCCCUGUCCGUUGCGGCGGGGUUGACGGUAGCCGGGGAUGAAGCGCCGGCUAACUACGUG